GACGAACGCUGGCGGCGUGCUUAACACAUGCAAGUCGAACGGAAAGGCCCUGCUUUUGUGGGGUGCUCGAGUGGCGAACGGGUGAUUAACACGUGAGUAACCUGCCCUUGACUUUGGGAUAACUUCAGGAAACUGGGGCUAAUACCGGAUAGGAGCUCCUGCUGCAUGGUGGGGGUUGGAAAGUUUCGGCGGUUGGGGAUGGACUCGCGGCUUAUCAGCUUGUUGGUGGGGUAGUGGCUUACCAAGGCUUUGACGGGUAGCCGGCCUGAGAGGGUGACCGGACACAUUGGGACUGAGAUACGGCCGAGACUCAUACGGGAGGCAGCAGGGGGGAAUAUUGCACAAUGGGCGGAAGCCUGAUGCAGCAACGCCGCGUGCGGGAUGACGGCCUUCGGGUUGUAAACCGCUUUCGACGGUGAAGAAGCGUGAGUGACGGUAAUGGGUAAAGAAGCACCGGCUAACUACGUG
This 468-nucleotide ribosomal RNA is filed under the name uncultured bacterium. Its description in RNAcentral is "partial 16S ribosomal RNA". It matches the Rfam family "Bacterial small subunit ribosomal RNA", at positions 28 to 507 of the family's 1533-position model. The record is from RNAcentral.